GUCUCAGUAGCGUAGUGGUUAACGUACUGCCCUAAUUAGGCGCGAGAUGCGGGUUCGGAUCCCGCGUGAGACG
RNAcentral lists this transfer RNA (73 nucleotides) under Nippostrongylus brasiliensis. It matches the Rfam family "tRNA". From Rfam's summary of the family: Transfer RNA (tRNA) molecules are approximately 80 nucleotides in length. Their secondary structure includes four short double-helical elements and three loops (D, anti-codon, and T loops). Lineage: Eukaryota; Metazoa; Nematoda; Chromadorea; Rhabditida; Heligmosomidae. The record is from Rfam by way of RNAcentral.